GCCCUUGUGGCACAAUAGUUAAGUGUUUGGCUACUAACCGAAAGGUUGGUGGUUUGAACCUAUCCAAUGGCU
Molecule: transfer RNA, 72 nt
Filed under: Loxodonta africana (African savanna elephant)
Lineage: Eukaryota; Metazoa; Chordata; Mammalia; Proboscidea; Elephantidae
Rfam family: tRNA
About the family: Transfer RNA (tRNA) molecules are approximately 80 nucleotides in length. Their secondary structure includes four short double-helical elements and three loops (D, anti-codon, and T loops). Further hydrogen bonds mediate the characteristic L-shaped molecular structure. tRNAs have two regions of fundamental functional importance: the anti-codon, which is responsible for specific mRNA codon recognition, and the 3' end, to which the tRNAs corresponding amino acid is attached (by aminoacyl-tRNA synthetases). tRNAs cope with the degeneracy of the genetic code in two manners: having more than one tRNA (with a specific anti-codon) for a particular amino acid; and 'wobble' base-pairing, i.e. permitting non-standard base-pairing at the 3rd anti-codon position.
Source: Rfam by way of RNAcentral